UGGGGAAUAUUGGACAAUGGGCGCAAGCCUGAUCCAGCCAUGCCGCGUGAGUGAUGAAGGCCCUAGGGUUGUAAAGCUCUUUCGCCAGGGACGAUAAUGACGGUACCUGGAUAAGAAGCCCCGGCUAACUUCGUGCCAGCAGCCGCGGUAAUACGAAGGGGGCUAGCGUUGUUCGGAAUUACUGGGCGUAAAGCGCAUGCAGGCGGAUCGCUAAGUCGGGGGUGAAAGCCCGAGGCUCAACCUCGGAACUGCCUUCGAUACUGGCGAUCUUGAGUCCGGGAGAGGUGAGUGGAACUCCGAGUGUAGAGGUGAAAUUCGUAGAUAUUCGGAAGAACACCAGUGGCGAAGGCGGCUCACUGGCCCGGUACUGACGCUGAGAUGCGAAAGCGUGGGGAGCAAACAGGAUUAGAUACCCGCGUAGUCC
This 424-nucleotide ribosomal RNA is filed under the name uncultured prokaryote. Its description in RNAcentral is "bacterial SSU rRNA". It matches the Rfam family "Bacterial small subunit ribosomal RNA", at positions 355 to 796 of the family's 1533-position model. The record is from RNAcentral.